Molecule: small RNA, 756 nt
Filed under: Pan troglodytes (chimpanzee)
Lineage: Eukaryota; Metazoa; Chordata; Mammalia; Primates; Hominidae
Description: retained intron
Source: RNAcentral
CCUGCCUUGCCAGCCCGGGUGGGCAUGCUGCGGGGCCGGGGCUUGGGCUGUGGCGCUUGGCUUUGCCUGUGGCCUUGGGCGGCCCCAGAGCUGACAGCUGCCCCCUUUCCACACUCCCCAGGCCGCUGCCUGCUCCCCAGGCCCAAGUCCCUUGCGGGCAGCUGCCCCUCCACCCGCCUGCUGACGCUGGAGGAAGCCCAGGCACGCACCCAGGGCCGGCUGGGGACGCCCACGGAGCCCACAACUCCCAAGGCCCCGGCCUCACCUGCGGAAAGGAGGAAAGGGGAGAGAGGGGAGAAGCAGCGGAAGCCAGGGGGCAGCAGCUGGAAGACGUUCUUUGCACUGGGCCGGGGCCCCAGUGUCCCUCGAAAGAAGCCCCUGCCCUGGCUGGGGGGCACCCGUGCCCCACCGCAGCCUUCAGGUGAGAGGCUGGGCCAUGGGCUGGUGGGUAGCGAUGGUCGCUGGAGUGCCCUCCUACCUCUCCCUCUCCUGCAGGCAGCAGACCCGACACCGUCACACUGAGAUCUGCCAAGAGCGAGGAGUCUCUGUCAUCGCAGGCCAGCGGGGCUGGCCUCCAGAGGCUGCACAGGCUGCGGCGACCCCACUCCAGCAGCGACGCUUUCCCUGUGGGCCCAGCACCUGCUGGCUCCUGCGAGAGCCUGUCCUCGUCCUCCUCCUCCGAGUCCUCCUCCUCUGAGUCCUCCUCUUCAUCCUCUGAGUCCUCAGCAGCUGGGCUGGGGGCACUCUCUGGGUCUC